CCUACGGGUGGCAGCAGUGGGGAAUAUUGGGCAAUGGGGGAAACCCUGAUCCAGCAACGCCGCGUGAAUGAUGAAGUAUUUCGGAUUGUAAACCCCUGUCACCAGGGAUGAAAGAUGACGGUACCCUGUAAACAAGCCCCGGCAAACUACGUGCCAGCAGCCGCGGUAAUACGUAGGGGGCGAGCGUUGUCCGGAAUGACUGGGUGUAAAGGGAGUGUAGGCGGGAGGAUAAGUCAUGUGUGAAAGCCCGCGGCUCAACCGCGGAAUUGCAGAUGAAACUGUUAGGCUUGAGUGCUGGAGAGGUAGGUGGAAUUCCCGGUGUAGCGGUGGAAUGCGUAGAUAUCAGGAGGAACACCAGUGGCGAAGGCG
RNAcentral lists this ribosomal RNA (369 nucleotides) under uncultured bacterium. RNAcentral describes it as "partial 16S ribosomal RNA". It matches the Rfam family "Bacterial small subunit ribosomal RNA", at positions 338 to 723 of the family's 1533-position model. The record is from RNAcentral.